RNAcentral lists this ribosomal RNA (1413 nucleotides) under uncultured bacterium. RNAcentral describes it as "bacterial SSU rRNA". It matches the Rfam family "Bacterial small subunit ribosomal RNA". The record is from RNAcentral.
AGAGUUUGAUCCUGGCUCAGGACGAACGCUGGCGGCGUGCUUAACACAUGCAAGUCGAACGGAGAUUGCAGACGGAAGGUUUCGGCCGGAAGGCUGUAAUUUCAGUGGCGGACGGGUGAGUAACGCGUGAGCAACCUGCCUUUUACAGGGGGAUAACGCGCCGAAAGGCGCACUAAUACCGCAUAAGACCACACGGGGACAUCCCCGAGGGGUCAAAGGAGCAAUCCGGUAAGAGAUGGGCUCGCGUCUGAUUAGAUAGUUGGUGAGGUAACGGCCCGCCAAGUCAACGAUCAGUAGCCGACCUGAGAGGGUGAUCGGCCACAUUGGAACUGAGAGACGGUCCAAACUCCUACGGGAGGCAGCAGUGGGGAAUAUUGGGCAAUGGGCGAAAGCCUGAACCAGCCAAGUAGCGUGCAGGAUGACGGCCCUAUGGGUUGUAAACUGCUUUUAUAGGGGAAUAAAGUUAUCCACGUGUGGAUAUUUGUAUGUACCCUAUGAAUAAGGACCGGCUAAUUCCGUGCCAGCAGCCGCGGUAAUACGGAAGGUCCGGGCGUUAUCCGGAUUUAUUGGGUUUAAAGGGUGCGUAGGCGGCUUGGUAAGUCAGCGGUGAAACGCAGGGGCUCAACCCCUGACCUGCCGUUGAAACUGCCGGGCUUGAAUGCGGAUGCUGUGGGAGGAAUGUGUGGUGUAGCGGUGAAAUGCAUAGAUAUCACACAGAACACCGAUUGCGAAGGCAUCUCACAAAUCCGCGAUUGACGCUGAGGCACGAAAGUGCGGGGAUCGAACAGGAUAAGAUACCCUGGUAGUCCACGCCCUAAACGAUGAUUAUUAGGUGUGGGGGGACUGACCCCUUCCGUGCCGAAGUUAACACAUUAAGUAAUCCCCUUGGGGAGUACGACCGCAAGGUCGAAACCCAAAGGAAUUGACGGGGGCCCGCACAAGCGGUGGAGCAUGUGGUUUAAUUAGAUGAUACGCGAGGAACCUUACCCGGGCUAGAACAGUGGGGGAACGGAGCGGAGACGCCGAGGUCCUACGGGACCCCCCACCGAGGUGCUGCAUGGUUGUCGUCAGCUCGUGCCGUGAGGUGUCGGGUCAAGUCCCAUAACGAGCGCAACCCCUUCCCGCAGUUGCCACCGGUCAGGCCGGGCACUCUGCGGGGACUGCCCGCGCAAGCGGAGAGGAAGGCGGGGAUGACGUCAAAUCAGCACGGCCCUUACGUCCGGGGCGACACACGUGCUACAAUGGCCGGCACAGAGGGCAGCCACGCGGCGACGCGGAGCGAAUCCCGAAAGCCGGUCUCAGUUCAGAUCGGGGUCUGCAACCCGACCCCGUGAAGUCGGAUUUGCUAGUAACGGCGUAUCAGCUACGACGCCGUGAAUGCGUUCCCGGGCCUUGUACUCACCGCCCGUCAAG